Molecule: ribosomal RNA, 296 nt
Filed under: Anaplasma phagocytophilum
Lineage: Bacteria; Pseudomonadati; Pseudomonadota; Alphaproteobacteria; Rickettsiales; Anaplasmataceae
Description: partial 16S ribosomal RNA
Rfam family: Bacterial small subunit ribosomal RNA
Source: RNAcentral
GGAUAGCCACUAGAAAUGGUGGGUAAUACUGUAUAAUCCCUGCGGGGGAAAGAUUUAUCGCUAUUAGAUGAGCCUAUGUUAGAUUAGCUAGUUGGUAGGGUAAAGGCCUACCAAGGCAGUGAUCUAUAGCUGGUCUGAGAGGAUGAUCAGCCACACUGGAACUGAGAUACGGUCCAGACUCCUACGGGAGGCAGCAGUGGGGAAUAUUGGACAAUGGGCGCAAGCCUGAUCCAGCUAUGCCGCGUGAGUGAGGAAGGCCUUAGGGUUGUAAAACUCUUUCAGUAGGGAAGAUAAUG